RNAcentral lists this ribosomal RNA (253 nucleotides) under uncultured bacterium. Its description in RNAcentral is "partial 16S ribosomal RNA". It matches the Rfam family "Archaeal small subunit ribosomal RNA", at positions 474 to 727 of the family's 1478-position model. The record is from RNAcentral.
UACCAGCACCCCGAGUGGUCGGGACGAUUAUUGGGCCUAAAGCAUCCGUAGCCGGUUUUACAAGUCCUCCGUUAAAUCCAACUGCUUAACAGGUGGGCCGCGGAGGAUACUAUAGAGCUAGGAGGCGGGAGAGGCAAGCGGUACUUAGUGGGUAAGGGUAAAAUCCGUUGAUCCAUUGAAGACCACCAGUGGCGAAGGCGGCUUGCCAGAACGCACUCGACGGUGAGGGAUGAAAGCUGGGGGAGCAAACCGG